UGGCUGUCGUCAGCUCGUGUUGUGAAAUGUUGGGUUAAGUCCCGCAACGAGCGCAACCCUUAUCCUUUGUUGCCAGCGGUUAGGCCGGGAACUCAAAGGAGACUGCCAGUGAUAAACUGGAGGAAGGUGGGGAUGACGUCAAGUAAUCAUGGCCCUUACGAGUAGGGCUACACACGUGCUACAAUGGCGCAUACAAAGAGAAGCGACCUCGCGAGAGCAAGCGGACCUCAUAAAGUGCGUCGUAGUCCGGAUUGGAGUCUGCAACUCGACUCCAUGAAGUCGGAAUCGCUAGUAAUCGUAGAUCAGAAUGCUACGGUGAAUACGUUCCCGGGCCUUGUACACACCGCCCGUCACACCAUGGGAGUGGGUUGCAAAAGAAGUAGGUAGCUUAACCUUCGGGAGGGCGCUUACCACUUUGUGAUUCAUGACUGGGGGAAGUCGAAGCAAGGAAG
This 452-nucleotide ribosomal RNA is filed under the name Enterobacter sp. PF1M3. Its description in RNAcentral is "bacterial SSU rRNA". It matches the Rfam family "Bacterial small subunit ribosomal RNA", at positions 1046 to 1499 of the family's 1533-position model. Lineage: Bacteria; Pseudomonadati; Pseudomonadota; Gammaproteobacteria; Enterobacterales; Enterobacteriaceae. The record is from RNAcentral.